Cannabis sativa is the source of this 650-nucleotide long non-coding RNA. RefSeq lists it as uncharacterized. NCBI's taxonomy places the organism in Eukaryota, Viridiplantae, Streptophyta, Magnoliopsida, Rosales, Cannabaceae. The record is from RefSeq and is a predicted model, not a curated record. The transcript has 4 exons.
UCAAGUCUUUUAUAAUACAAUACAAUUGUGUAUUUCAGAUUGAACAAACAUUAUUUAGGAAUAGCAGCGGGUGAAGUUUCGGUAAAAUCAGCAUGGUUAUUGGUGAUAUUUUAUUUGUUCAGUGGAUUGAUAAUUAUGGGAUUAUGUGGAGAACCAGUGAUUACUGCUCUCUAUUGCCUUGGCCUUUUCCUUGGCACCAUCUACUCACUUACUCCACUUAUUAAAGCCAACAAUCCUCUCCUGCUUCUUCCGUUACAGAUAUCAAAUAGUAGCAUUUGUCACAAAAUUUGGAGUUAGAAAAAUUGUGUUCCAUGGCACGUGUCUUCUCCUGCUCAUUUAUAUUGGUUCCAUUUUCGUGGCAAUUUGUGUUCCUCAGGCUUUCAGUUGUAAUUUGAUGGUUCCUAUUCACAUUAUUUUGGCAUUGUGGUUACUUUUCCAGGAUUGGAUAUUAGAGCACACAAAGAUAAAGGUAUGUAAAAUCCAGCAUAUGGAUAAUGGGAAUGCUUAACACUACUCAAUAACUAAAAAAGUGAUAUUAAUUAUCCCAAUAACAGAGCAUCAGCAUCCAUAAAAUUAAAGGGUUAUAUUGUGUUUGGUUUUUAUUUUCAAUUUUUUAAAUAACAUUUAAAAUUUUCAAAACAAAAAUAAGU